UGGGGGUUGUGUGGCCAUUGAUCAUCGACCAGAGGCUCAUACACCUCACUACACAUAUGUUUCCUUGCCAUAGAUCACAUUCUUGGAUUUAUGGUGGAGACCAUUUCUUGGUCAAAAAUCCGUAGGUGUUAGCCUUCAGUGUCAUUGAAAAUGGUCGUUCAUGGCUAUUUUCGACAAAAAAUAGGGUUGUGUGGCCAUUGAUCGUCGACCAGAGGCUCAUACACCUCACCCCACAUAUGUUUCCUUGCCGUAGAUCACAUUUUUGGAUUUCUGGUGGAGACCAUUUCUUGGUCAAAAAUCCGUAGGUGUUAGCCUUCGGUAUUAUUGAAAAUGGUCGUUCAUGGCUAUUUCGACAAAAAAUGGGGGUUGUGUGGCCAUUGAUCAUCGACCAGAGGCUCAUACACCUCACCCCACAUAUGUUUCCUUGCCAUAGAUCACAUUCUUGGAUUUCUGGUGGAGACCAUUUCUUGGUCAAAAAUCCGUAGGUGUUAGCCUCUAGUAUUAUUGAAAAUGGUCGCUCAUGGCUAUUUUCAUAAAAAAUGGGGGUUGUGUGGCCAUUUAUCAUCGACUAGAGGCUCAUAAACCUCACCCCACAUAUGUUUCCUUGCCAUAGAUCACAUUCUUGGAUUUCUGGUGGAGACCAUUUCUUGGUCAAAAAUCCGUAGUGUUAGCCUUCGCUAUUAUUGAAAAUGGUCGUUCAUGGCUAUUUUCGACAAAAAUGGGGGUUGUGUGGCCAUUGAUCAUCGACCAGAGGCUCAACACCUCACCCCACAUAUGUUUCCUUGCCAUAGAUCACAUUCUUGGAUUUCUGUGGAGACCAUUUCUUGGCAAAAAUCCGAUGUGUUAGCCUUUGGUAUUUUGAAAAUGGUCAUUCAUGGCUAUUUUCACAAAAAUGGGUUGUGUGGCCAUUGAUCUUCGACCAGAGGCUCAUACACCUCACACACAUAUGUUUCCUUGCCAUAGAUCACAUUCUUGGAUUUAUGGUGGAGACCAUUUCUUGGUCAAAAAUCCGUAGUGUUAGCCUCAGUGUAUUGAAAAUGGUCGUUCAUGGCUAUUUUCGACAAAAAUAGGGUUGGUGGCCAUUGAUCGUCGAUCAGAGGCUCAUACACCUCACCCCACAUAUGUUUCCUUGCCAUAGAUCAAUUCUUGAUUUCUGGUGGAGACCAUUUCUUGGUCAAAAAUCCGUAGGUGUUAGCCUCUAGUAUUAUUGAAAAUGGUCGCUCAUGGCUAUUUUCAUAAAAAAUGGGGGUUGUGUGGCCAUUUAUCAUCGACUAGAGGCUCAUAAACCUCACCCCACAUAUGUUUCCUUGCCAUAGAUCACAUUCUUGGAUUUCUGGUGGAGACCAUUUCUUGGUCAAAAAUCCGUAGGUGUUAGCC
RNAcentral lists this long non-coding RNA (1377 nucleotides) under Zea mays. RNAcentral describes it as "long non-coding RNA (ZMAY_LNC005801)". Lineage: Eukaryota; Viridiplantae; Streptophyta; Magnoliopsida; Poales; Poaceae. The record is from RNAcentral.